This is a long non-coding RNA of Cucumis melo (muskmelon), 2376 nucleotides long. RefSeq lists it as uncharacterized. The transcript has 7 exons. The record is from RefSeq and is a predicted model, not a curated record. Lineage: Eukaryota; Viridiplantae; Streptophyta; Magnoliopsida; Cucurbitales; Cucurbitaceae.
CUGCCAAAAUUUCACCCAAAAUUUCUUUCCCUCCUUCCAUUCCCCUCUCAAAUUUAAGAAGCCUCCUCUCCUUCCACACGAUAACCCACACAGCCUCCAACACCCUACCUAACCCGUCUUCUUCGUUGAAGCUCUACCGCCACGCAAAACUCCGGCUAACCUCUGCCAUCACGUAUCUUCUACAGGUCUCCGACGACCUGUUUUCAUCUUCGCUACUUGUUUCAUGCCUCCGUCGCUCUCUCUGUCACCAGUCUCUCCGCCGCGCACGACCUACCUUUCGUCUAACCUCUGUCGUCAGUCUAAGGAAAGGUUCCUUCCCUUCUCAAAUCUAAGGAAAGGUUCUUUCCCUUACGACUGCAGCCCUACAAUAUAUUUCUGCUUUCAUUUCACAGAGAUUGAGAACUUAAGUUCUGGAACGGUUCGAGAAAUAAGUAUUGUGUUGAAUGACAUCUACUCCAUUGCACCAUCUAUAAUUCUCUAGUAUCUCGUACCACGAACCAUCACAACUUCCGCUGUUAUCCCUGUUAAUCUCAAUGAAGAGAAUUACUUGCGGAUUUUCGCUGCUUUCGAUUCGAAACUUCCUCCCUGGUUUGAGGUUUUUUACUUAGCAAACCUCUAUUAUUCACCUACAUUCUCACAGUAUGGAACUUGAGUAGGAGCAAUUUAACAGGAGAGAUCCCAUUUUCCAUCUUGAAUCUCACUCAGUUGGAGACUCUCGAUUUAACUGGUAAUAAUCUUGGUGGCACAGUUUAUGUGUGUAUAGGUGCCCAGAAUAAACGUUGUAUUCUGUGUAUAGGUGUCUAUUUUCGUCCAACCAGGUCUCUAUAGGAUGAUUAUCUAGAUUGUUUUGGCGAUCUGGAAACCAUAGGAAAGGUGGGAACAUACAUUGAAGAUUUCCUUUAAACUCCAGAUUGCCUUCCAACAAUCUUACUUUCUCUUCAAGAUCAUUGUUUAGUGAAGCUUUUCCACAUUUUUGGCAAGUUUUUUUCUUUCCAAGUUUGCAUCAGAAAGUGAACUCUUUAGAAGUGUGUUUUUCUCUAACUGUCCCUCUAAGUUUUCAAUUGCCAUUUGCAAUCUAGUUUAGCAUGGUAUAGUUACUAAACUAGAUUAUUAAGCCAAUGACUAUGAGAUUACUAUAUCAGCUUCUGUUAGACAUCCUGAUUAAUCAAUGUCAAGCUUCUUAAAAGUGUGAAGUAUGGGAGAAAUGUCUUCCUGAUUGGUCUUUACCAUUUCCUUUAGUUUAUAUAUGAUAAAUUAUGCAGCACUGAUACAGCAAAUUGCCAAUAAGCCUCAUGAUACAUGCAAGAAUGGAAUCAAAAUAGAAGUCAUUGUCAAGACUUGGGUAAUGGGAAAUAAAUCAAGUGGAACACGAGGAUGAAAGAAAUGUGAAGGUAAAUCAAGCUGACCUUACUACUUUAUCAUGAUCAAGGUCUACUUCUUCAAGAUCUGAAUAUGUGAGGCUUCGAUUAAGAACCCAAUUAACCAGUGAUUCUUGUCUCCUUUCUGCGUGUAAUUCUGCAAGGUACAGAAAAAACCGUGCUAAGCAGAUCGUUGUGUUUUUCUCUAACUGUCCCUCUAAGUUGGUUGCCUUUAACUUUACUUUUUUCCUUAUCUCAUUUCUUGAGAUGUGUUGUUGCGCAAUGUAUUUGUUAUCGUUGGAGAAUUUUAUUUUACCUUUUCUAAAAUUGUUUUAUAAUUGUCUCGCAAUGCAGAAUGACAUAAGCGUUCAAUAUUGAUUUUAACAGUGUACUUUUGAACAAUUGAUAUUUCUGAGGUUGAAGAAAAUCUUUUUGCUACAAGUGAUGCCAAGGUAAAUGAACUGAAGUAUCGUGCAGUGAUGGAAGGCCAAUGAAACAAGGACAACAUUUUCUCAUUUGAACAGUCAUGGAUUUAGUUUUAUGAAUCAAAUUCAUCUUGGACAUUGUGAUGUGUACAUUUUGGAACCUAAUAUAUUUGUAAAAUUUUCUUCUACAAGGUUUAAGAUUUUCAAUUAGUUAAGAUAUAUAUCUUAUUCAGGCUAUUAAUAUAUAUGUAUUGUUGGAUAGUUUUGCUUUUAUGGUUGUUGUUCUGAGUGCAUUGCUUAUUCGUGGAAUUGGUCAUAAUCUUCAGAGGGCAUACUAUCAAAGUUUGAAACUGCUAAAAGUUAAAUUAUCAAAAAACUCAGGUGAAUGAAAUGGAGUCGUCUUAACUAAAGGACUAAAGAACCAAUGAUGACAGUUAGCUCAUAUAAUCUUGUACACUUAUGAUGAACUUUGUUUGUAUUUUGAGGGUUAAUUUGUGUGGUUGGUACAUUUAGAUUGCAACAUUCAUUAAGUAAAUUACUGGUUAGUAUUUUAUUUUGUAAUUUUAAUACAUUAUGAAUGGAAGUUAUUAGUA